UAUAGAGUUGACCCUAACUCCUCACCCUUUGUGAAAUUACUUUUGAUGUUGCUUCGGUGGACCUUACCAAGUCUGCCGGGGGUUUACGAAUUUCUGUUUUAUAAAUUGGCUACUCUGAAACUGUGGGAAAAUAAAGUUAAAACUUUCAACAACGGAUCUCUUGGUUCUGGCAUCGAUGAAGAACGCAGCGAAAUGCGAUAGGUAAUGUGAAUUGCAGAACUCAGUGAAUCAUCGAAUUUUUGAACGCACAUUGCGCCCACCAGUAUUCUGGUGGGCAUGCCUGUUCGAGCGUCAUUUCAACCCCUUAUGCCUUUGUUGCAUAGCGUUGAGGGAUUAUUUUACGAAGUAGAGUAACCCUUGAAAAUGAGUGGCGGAGUUAUCUUAUUCUCUGGAUGUAGUAAUUAAAUUUUUUUAAUCUCACCAAUAGAAUAACUCGACAUCUAGCCAAGUAAACCUAUAUUUUUAGUGGUUGACCUCGGAUCAGGUAGGGAUACCCGCUGAACUUAAGCAUAUCAAUAAGCGGAGGAAAAGAAACCAACAGGGAUUGCCUUAGUAACGGCGAGUGAAGCGGCAACAGCUCAAAUUUGAAAUCUGGCUCAUUAGGGUCCGAGUUGUAAUUUGUAGAGGAUGCUUUAGGUGAGGUGCCUUCCGAGUUCUCUGGAACGGGACGCCGAA
This 675-nucleotide ribosomal RNA is filed under the name fungal endophyte. RNAcentral's name for it is "eukaryotic LSU rRNA". The stretch from base 141 to 294 matches the Rfam family "5.8S ribosomal RNA". The record is from RNAcentral. Lineage: Eukaryota; Fungi.